UUCACUUGUAGUUAUUAGUAGUUGAUGUUCACAGCCAGAUUUCCGUUGAUCAUCACUUUGAUUGAUAGUAAUUAUGUGAGUACCAUCAGCAUCAGGUACCUCUAUGAAGAUAUAAAGAAAAAAGAGAAGAGAAAAAAACAAAUUUAAGAAACAAGAAUCACACAAAAUGUCACAGACGAAAACAAUAGUUGAAAUAAGCAACUGUAAAGGAAAGUUAUCAGUUUGUUACCAAUCAAGAUAAAUGAUAAAAACGUGUGAGAGGAACCAUGAAAAAAGGAUGAAAAGAAGAUGAAAUUGCUGAUGAUGACGAUUAAAAUAGAGGAAGGAUUAUUAUUCUCAGUCUGAUUAAAAUCAAGGUUGAUUGUGGAAACUUGGAUGAAAUAAAAUUGAAACGGAACAAUAAGAAAAUGUAAAACUGUAUUAAAAGUAUUAAAACAAAGCUUUAUGAAGCUUGAUGACUAUCAGUUGGUAUUAACCAAUUGAAUGAUGAUGAAAAAAAUUAGUAACAAGUUCAAAGAUAAGGAAAAGGAUUUUAACGGUAAGAAUAUUUUAGCUCUCAAUUUGUCCAAACCUAAAAACUGGUUAAACAAACGGUCUUCUAACGGUUAAUGUCGCUGAUCAUGAACAUGGUGAGAUUGAAAGGAGUAAGGAAGACAGAACAGGAUAACUCUUCCCGCUCCUUUCUCUCGGGUUUUACUUUAUUUCAUUGUCUUCCUUUUCAUCUUGUAUCUUCUGUCAAUCUUGUUUCUCUUCUGAAUCUGUGUCUUCUUUCAACCAUGGUCUAA
Tetranychus urticae (two-spotted spider mite) is the source of this 785-nucleotide non-coding RNA. Lineage: Eukaryota; Metazoa; Arthropoda; Arachnida; Trombidiformes; Tetranychidae. The record is from RefSeq and is a predicted model, not a curated record.